Molecule: ribosomal RNA, 253 nt
Filed under: uncultured bacterium
Lineage: Bacteria
Description: partial 16S ribosomal RNA
Rfam family: Bacterial small subunit ribosomal RNA
Source: RNAcentral
UACGUAGGGUGCGAGCGUUACUCGGAAUUACUGGGCGUAAAGCGUGCGCAGGCGGUUCGCUGUGUCCGAUGUGAAAGCCCCGGGCUUAACCUGGGAAUGGCAUUGGAAACUGGCGGGCUUGAGUGCGGCAGAGGGGGGUGGAAUUCCGCGUGUAGCAGUGAAAUGCGUAGAGAUGCGGAGGAACACCGAUGGCGAAGGCAGCCCCCUGGGUCGACACUGACGCUCAGGCACGAAAGCGUGGGGAGCAAACAGG